ACGGCGUCUAAUACUGGAUAUGAGCUCUCAUCGCAUGGUGGGGGUUGGAAAGAUUUUUCGGUUUGGGAUGGGCUCGCGGCCUAUCAGCUUGUUGGUGAGGUAAUGGCUCACCAAGGCGUCGACGGGUAGCCGGCCUGAGAGGGUGACCGGCCACACUGGGACUGAGACACGGCCCAGACUCCUACGGGAGGCAGCAGUGGGGAAUAUUGCACAAUGGGCGCAAGCCUGAUGCAGCAACGCCGCGUGAGGGAUGACGGCCUUCGGGUUGUAAACCUCUUUUGGUAGGGAAGAAGCCUUCGGGUGACGGUACCUGCAGAAAAAGCGCCGGCUAACUACGUGCCAGCAGCCGCGGUAAUACGUAGGGCGCAAGCGUUAUCCGGAAUUAUUGGGCGUAAAGAGCUCGUAGGCGGUCUGUCGCGUCUGCUGUGAAAUUCCGAGGCUCAACCUCGGGCUUGCAGUGGGUACGGGCAGACUAGAGUGCGGUAGGGGAGAUUGGAAUUCCUGGUGUAGCGAGUGGAAUGCGCAGAUAUCAGGAGGAACACCGAUGGCGAAGGCAGAUCUCUGGGCCGUUACUGACGCUGAGGAGCGAAAGGGUGGGGAGCAAACAGGCUUAGAUACCCUGGUAGUCCACCCCGUAAACGGUGGGAACUAGUUGUGGGGUCCUUUCCACGGAUUCCGUGACGUAGCUAACGCAUUAAGUUCCCCGCCUGGGGAGUACGGCCGCAAGGCUAAAACUCAAAGGAAUUGACGGGGACCCGCACAAGCGGCGGAGCAUGCGGAUUAAUUCGAUGCAACGCGAAGAACCUUACCAAGGCUUGACAUACGCCAGAACGGGCCAGAAAUGGUCAACUCUUUGGACACUGGUGAACAGGUGGUGCAUGGUUGUCGUCAGCUCGUGUCGUGAGAUGUUGGGUUAAGUCCCGCAACGAGCGCAACCCUCGUUCUAUGUUGCCAGCACGUUAUGGUGGGAACUCAUGGGAUACUGCCGGGGUCAACUCGGAGGAAGGUGGGGAUGACGUCAAAUCAUCAUGCCCCUUAUGUCUUGGGCUUCACGCAUGCUACAAUGGCCGGUACAAUGGGCUGCGAUACCGCGAGGUGGAGCGAAUCCCAAAAAGCCGGUCCCAGUUCGGAUUGAGGUCUGCAACUCGACCUCACGAAGUCGGAGUCUCUAGUAAUCGCAGAUC
RNAcentral lists this ribosomal RNA (1184 nucleotides) under Microbacterium aquimaris. Its description in RNAcentral is "bacterial SSU rRNA". It matches the Rfam family "Bacterial small subunit ribosomal RNA", at positions 156 to 1350 of the family's 1533-position model. Lineage: Bacteria; Bacillati; Actinomycetota; Actinomycetes; Micrococcales; Microbacteriaceae. The record is from RNAcentral.